AACGAACGCUGGCGGCAGGCUUAACACAUGCAAGUCGAACGCCCCGCAAGGGGAGUGGCAGACGGGUGAGUAACGCGUGGGAACAUACCCUUUUCUACGGAAUAGCUCUGGGAAACUGGAAUUAAUACCGUAUACGCCCUACGGGGGAAAGAUUUAUCGGGGAAGGAUUGGCCCGCGUUGGAUUAGCUAGUUGGUGGGGUAAAGGCCUACCAAGGCGACGAUCCAUAGCUGGUCUGAGAGGAUGAUCAGCCACAUUGGGACUGAGAUACGGCCCAAACUCCUACGGGAGGCAGCAGUGGGGAAUAUUGGACAAUGGGCGCAAGCCUGAUCCAGCCAUGCCGCGUGAGUGAUGAAGGCCUUAGGGUUGUAAAGCUCUUUCACCGAUGAAGAUAAUGACGGUAGUCGGAGAAGAAGCCCCGGCUAACUUCGUG
RNAcentral lists this ribosomal RNA (431 nucleotides) under uncultured bacterium. RNAcentral describes it as "partial 16S ribosomal RNA". It matches the Rfam family "Bacterial small subunit ribosomal RNA", at positions 29 to 507 of the family's 1533-position model. The record is from RNAcentral.